This 2227-nucleotide long non-coding RNA is filed under the name Homo sapiens (human). Its description in RNAcentral is "non-protein coding LINC00904:2". Lineage: Eukaryota; Metazoa; Chordata; Mammalia; Primates; Hominidae. The record is from RNAcentral.
UAGUGUAGAAUCAACUCUGAAUAAGUAUUUAGUAAAAUAAUAUGUCUAAGCUAAGGGAAAUGCUUACAUUUUUCUUUUUCCCCCAGCUUCAGCUGGUUCUCCUGAACCUUGAAUUAUCUUAGGAAAGAUUGUAUUUUCAGGAAUUAAGUCUAUUGGAGACACAGCAGGACUCCACAGCCAGCUAGAUUUGGAUAAAAUGUAGACUGCCUCAAGGCCAGUGUGUUGACUUCUGACCAGUCUCAUCUGAACCCACACCCUUUAACAUAUAUACAAAACACCUGAAGGGUUGGGCUGCCAGCUUUCUUUAGGAUGAUAGAGGGCAGGUUAAGUUUGUUUGACAUAACUAGAAGAGGUGGAGCCUCUUCCUAAUGGAGCAAGGUCCAUUUAUGGCAAACUGUGGUCCCCCACCACUAUCAGCUACUUCUGGAUAGCUUUUGCUUAAAGUUGAUGAGAUAUUGUUUCUUUCACUAGAAGAAAAUGAAUGAGUUGGUGAUCCCAAACUUUGGCCUCCAAAGGAAGCCUGGGCAGGUGACAAAUGUGUCCUAAGCGAGACUGCUGCUUCCAUGCUCAUGCUGGAGGUACAUUUGCCCUGAAAGAUGGAGCAAAAGUGCUGAAGCUUAGCACAGAGGAUUAAUGAAUAAGAACAAGGCUAUGUUAUAUCAUAUUUGUAUAGCAAUCUGGAAAAGAAAGAACGGGGCUUGUUAAGGCAAAUGGGCAAGACAAAACGGGAUAUCUAUAGGCAGCAAGGGGUCCUGCCAGUCUAAGACUAAUGGAAAACUGGCCCAUAGCCAGGUAUUUUCUCAAUGGUGUUCACUACACCAAGUCAGAGGGCUACUUUGUCUAGAUAGAGCCCAGGUAUUGUGAGUGAGUGCAGGAAUAGAAGUGUCUUCCUAAAGGUGUAUGUAUGGUGUUCUCCUGGGAGACUGUAACAGAUGUGCCCUGGGCAAGACCACGCCAGCAGCUGUCAAUGAUGCUGAGCAUACAAAUACCCUGGAGCCCAGGAAUGGGGCUGCCUCCGCCCAGUGUAUCACCUGUGCUCCAGACUGUGUACCCCAGGUCCUCUGCCAGUAGCAUCUCCAAUCACAGGUGAAAUGCCAGCCCUUCAAACAGCACAGGUGGGCCCUAGGUGUCUGAUGGAAGGAAUGAACAGAUAUAUCACGUGGCAUGCAUUUCUUCUCAGUGGUGCAGGUAUCUCCAGCAGGUUUGCUCUGGCCAGGUGGGCCCCAGUACUUAGACCAUAUGCAGGAAGAGAAGACUCUCUAAAAAUAGGUAUGAUGUUGGCCCCUUCCAUUGCAACACACGUGCCCUGGACAGGUGGGAUUCAGGUGUUCUGGCUAUAGGUAGGAACAUAAAGGCAUCCGAGCAUAGAUGCAGUGCUGGUCCCUUAGACUGCAACAGGUGUACUUUAGUUAGGUGUGCCCCAGGUGGCUUGACUGGGGCAGGAAGAGAAGGAUCUCAGCACAGGUAUGGUGCUGGUCCCUUCCACUGGAACACAAGUGCUCUGGCCAAACAGGUCCCAGGUGAUCUGAACAAAAGGGGGAACAGCCAUGUCUUCUGAAACACUCCUUCUCAGUGAUCACAAAUCUUCCAGUAGUAGUAGGCGUGUUUUGGCUGGGCUGGCACCAGGUGCUCUAACUACAGGUGGGAAGGAAAGUGUUUCCCAGGGCAGAUUUGAUUUGCUCUCAGCAGUGCCGGCUUCUCCAAUUGCAGCAGGAGUGCAUCAGGGCUGACAGGACCCUGGCGCUCAGGUCUAAGCCUCCCCCAUCAUGAGCUGUGGUACUGGCUGUCCCCCAGCCAUUUUGCUCCAAAGCUAAGCGAUCUAGAUGUGGUGGUAGACUCUGCGUGGUAGACCCAAUGACCCCAAAGCUUUUGCUAUCCAUAAGGGCUUCAGAUCCCACAAAUACAAAUUGGCUUGGAUUGGCAUCAGCAAGAAAUGAGCAACAGUCCUCAGUGUUGUGCUUUCUGGUAGCAUUUCAUGGCAAGAGUAAGAGUGUCCACACCAAUGGGUAAAACACCCGAGGCACCACCAUGGGCUGCCUGAAUGCUGACAUUGAUGCCAAAGUGGACACGGGAGUGUUUAGUUCCCAAAAGCCAACUGAGUUGUGCUGCCAUUGGGUUCUAGGGCUGCAGUAGAGGUUAAGUGUGAAGGGUUUUCAGGGGCUGGCAGGUUUCUCAAAGGGAAACAGCUGUUAACAUUGCAGGGAGAGACAGGAUGAUAACAGAUGGG